CAAUAGCGUAUAUUAAAGUUGUUGCAGUUAAAAAGCUCGUAGUUGGAUUUGUGGCGUACGGUGUGUUCCGGGCACUUGUUGUCUGAGUAACCUGCUGUUGCCAUCCUUGGGUGGAACCUGUGUGGCAUUAGGUUGUCGUGCAGGGGAUGCCCAUCAUUACUGUGAAAAAAUUAGAGUGUUCAAAGCAGGCUCAUGCCGUUGAAUAUAUUAGCAUGGAAUAAUGAGAUAGGACUUUUUUGCUAUUUUGUUGGUUUGCGCAAAGAGGUAAUGAUUAAUAGGGACAGUUGGGGGUAUUCGUAUUCCAUUGUCAGAGGUGAAAUUCUUGGAUUUUUGGAAGACGAACUACUGCGAAAGCAUUUACCAAGGAUGUUUUCAUUAA
Molecule: ribosomal RNA, 379 nt
Filed under: uncultured eukaryote
Lineage: Eukaryota
Description: partial 18S ribosomal RNA
Rfam family: Eukaryotic small subunit ribosomal RNA
Source: RNAcentral